AGUGAACGCUGGCGGUAGGCCUAACACAUGCAAGUCGAACGGCAGCACAGUAAGAGCUUGCUCUUACGGGUGGCGAGUGGCGGACGGGUGAGGAAUACAUCGGAAUCUACUUUUUCGUGGGGGAUAACGUAGGGAAACUUACGCUAAUACCGCAUACGACCUACGGGUGAAAGCAGGGGAUCUUCGGACCUUGCGCGAUUGAAUGAGCCGAUGUCGGAUUAGCUAGUUGGCGGGGUAAAGGCCCACCAAGGCGACGAUCCGUAGCUGGUCUGAGAGGAUGAUGAGCCACACUGGAACUGAGACACGGUCCAGACUCCUACGGGCGGCCCCAGUGGGGAAUAUUGGACAAUGGGCGCAAGCCUGCUCCAGCCAUACCGCGUGGGUGCAGCAGGCCUUCGUGUUGGAUAGCCCUUUUGUUGGGAAAGAAAAGCAGCAGGUUAGUCCCCCGCUGUUCUGACGGUACCCAAAGAAUAAGCACCGGCUAACUUCGUG
RNAcentral lists this ribosomal RNA (492 nucleotides) under uncultured bacterium. RNAcentral describes it as "partial 16S ribosomal RNA". It matches the Rfam family "Bacterial small subunit ribosomal RNA", at positions 29 to 507 of the family's 1533-position model. The record is from RNAcentral.